This 300-nucleotide ribosomal RNA is filed under the name uncultured Nesterenkonia sp. Its description in RNAcentral is "bacterial SSU rRNA". It matches the Rfam family "Bacterial small subunit ribosomal RNA", at positions 496 to 795 of the family's 1533-position model. The record is from RNAcentral. Lineage: Bacteria; Bacillati; Actinomycetota; Actinomycetes; Micrococcales; Micrococcaceae.
GAGAAGUACGUGCGAGGAGGCGGGGUCAGACGUAGGGUGCGAGGGGUAAUCGGAAGUGGUGGGCGUAAAGGGUGCGGAGGCGUCCGCGGAAGUCGAGUGUGAAGGCCGCGAGGUGAGCGUGGGAAUUGCGCUGGAAACUACGUGGCUGUAGUGUGGCAGAGGAAGGUGGAAUUCCACGUGUAGCGGUGAAAUGCGUAGAGAUGUGGAGGAACACCGAUGGCGAAGGCAGCCUUCUGGGCCAACACUGACGCUCAUGCACGAAAGCGUGGGGAGCAAACAGGAUUAGAUACCCCGGUAGUC